GCCUAGUUAGCUUGGUUGGUAGAGCGUCUGCCUUGUAAGCGCUAGGUCGUGGGUUUGAUUCCCGCCCAGGGCG
Molecule: transfer RNA, 73 nt
Filed under: Diaphorina citri (Asian citrus psyllid)
Lineage: Eukaryota; Metazoa; Arthropoda; Insecta; Hemiptera; Psyllidae
Rfam family: tRNA
About the family: Transfer RNA (tRNA) molecules are approximately 80 nucleotides in length. Their secondary structure includes four short double-helical elements and three loops (D, anti-codon, and T loops).
Source: Rfam by way of RNAcentral